Molecule: long non-coding RNA, 129 nt
Organism: Xiphophorus couchianus (Monterrey platyfish)
Lineage: Eukaryota; Metazoa; Chordata; Actinopteri; Cyprinodontiformes; Poeciliidae
Exons: 3
Source: RefSeq, a predicted model, not a curated record
GUACCUCUGGGAUCUAGAAUUGUAAGAUUGAGAUAUCAAGGCAAAUAGAACUCAGUAGCUGCUGGUAGGGGCCCUUCAAACAUUCAGGGGCCCCUAGAAAUGGUUUAAUUUUUUUUGAUUUUUAAAACA